RNAcentral lists this non-coding RNA (22 nucleotides) under Arabidopsis thaliana (thale cress). The record is from RNAcentral. Lineage: Eukaryota; Viridiplantae; Streptophyta; Magnoliopsida; Brassicales; Brassicaceae.
CCAUGUAUGGAUGCCCUGUCGA